GACAGAGGUGCCAAGCGUUAGGCGGAAUCACUGGGCUUAAAGCGCACGUAGGCGGACGUGUCAGUCAGGGGUGAAAUCCCAAGGCUCAACCUUGGAACUGCCUUUGAUACUGGGGAUCUCGAGUCCGGAAGAGGUUGGUGGAACUGCGAGUGUAGAGGUGAAAUUCGUAGAUAUUCGCAAGAACACCAGUGGCGAAGGCGGCCAACUGGUCCGGUACUGACGCUGAGGUGCGAAAGCGUGGGGAGCAAACAGG
RNAcentral lists this ribosomal RNA (253 nucleotides) under uncultured bacterium. RNAcentral describes it as "partial 16S ribosomal RNA". It matches the Rfam family "Bacterial small subunit ribosomal RNA", at positions 524 to 776 of the family's 1533-position model. The record is from RNAcentral.